UGGGGAAUAUUGGACAAUGGGCGCAAGCCUGAUCCAGCCAUGCCGCGUGCAGGAUGAAGUAUUUCGGUAUGUAAACUUCGAAAGAAUAGGAAGAAUAAAUGACGGUACUAUUUAUAAGGUCCGGCUAACUACGUGCCAGCAGCCGCGGUAAUACGUAGGGACCAAGCGUUGUUCGGAUUUACUGGGCGUAAAGGGCGCGUAGGCGGCAAUUCAAGUCAUCUGUGAAAUCUCCGGGCUUAACUCGGAACGGUCAGAUGAUACUGCUUUGCUAGAGUGCAGAAGGGGCAAUCGGAAUUCUUGGUGUAGCGGUGAAAUGCGUAGAUAUCGGAAAGAACAUCAGUGGCGAAGGCGGCUUCCUGGACUCAUACUGACGCUGAGGCACGAAAGCAUGGGGAGCAAACAGGAUUAGAUACCCGCGUAGUCCCUGAGCGGGCUGGCAAGGCGCAU
RNAcentral lists this ribosomal RNA (447 nucleotides) under uncultured bacterium. Its description in RNAcentral is "bacterial SSU rRNA". It matches the Rfam family "Bacterial small subunit ribosomal RNA", at positions 355 to 825 of the family's 1533-position model. The record is from RNAcentral.